This 417-nucleotide ribosomal RNA is filed under the name Salmonella enterica subsp. enterica serovar Enteritidis. Its description in RNAcentral is "partial 23S ribosomal RNA". It matches the Rfam family "Bacterial large subunit ribosomal RNA", at positions 149 to 605 of the family's 2925-position model. The record is from RNAcentral. Lineage: Bacteria; Pseudomonadati; Pseudomonadota; Gammaproteobacteria; Enterobacterales; Enterobacteriaceae.
UAUCAUUAACUGAAUCCAUAGGUUAAUGAGGCGAACCGGGGGAACUGAAACAUCUAAGUACCCCGAGGAAAAGAAAUCAACCGAGAUUCCCCCAGUAGCGGCGAGCGAACGGGGAGGAGCCCAGAGCCUGAAUCAGCAUGUGUGUUAGUGGAAGCGUCUGGAAAGGCGCGCGAUACAGGGUGACAGCCCCGUACACAAAAGCGCAUGUGCUGUGAGCUCGAUGAGUAGGGCGGGACACGUGGUAUCCUGUCUGAAUAUGGGGGGACCAUCCUCCAAGGCUAAAUACUCCUGACUGACCGAUAGUGAACCAGUACCGUGAGGGAAAGGCGAAAAGAACCCCGGCGAGGGGAGUGAAAAAGAACCUGAAACCGUGUACGUACAAGCAGUGGGAGCACCCUUUGGGUGUGACUGCGUACC